UUGCCACCUCUUACUUGCAAAUUGGACAUGACUUUCUUGGUCAAUAAAGCAUAUCAAAGUGAAUGUCUGUUUAAAUGCAAGCAACCUUGGGUAUAUGUCUUGUAUUCUAUCAGAGAAACAACA
This 123-nucleotide small nucleolar RNA is filed under the name Sorex araneus (European shrew). RNAcentral describes it as "Small nucleolar RNA SNORA27 (ENSSARG00000020229.1)". Lineage: Eukaryota; Metazoa; Chordata; Mammalia; Eulipotyphla; Soricidae. The record is from RNAcentral.